GAUAUUCUAAUAAUUUAAUUGAAACUGAAGAUUGAUACAAUUGGAGUGAAUUAAGAAAGUAGAGAAUAACUGUAACUUAAAUUAUCUAUAACUUUCAUAUGUUAUUCUUUAACAUGAUAACAAAUAUUAAAAAAGAAAAAUCUACCACUUGAUAAGUACAUAAUUAUAUAAAUUUAUAGAUAAUAUAAGUAAUUUUGGGGGCCUUAAUUUUCUAGGGGCCUAAAGCCACCGCUUGAGUGGCUUUGGGGUGUACACAGCACUGGCUAGGGGCAGUUUUAACAUUAAAAGUGUAUGCUUUCUCUCGAGCAAGACUCAACUUCUUAACUUCUCUUUUCAAAGAUGCUCAUGUUUCCUUCUUUCCAAAGAGACUGUGUUGCUCAACAUAUACAAAUGUGAAUAUUCUAGUUUGUUGAGAUAUCCCUUUUCCAUAUUUGAGUAUCCAUUCAAGGUGAUGCAGACAUGAUUAUGGAGCAACAGAUGGUUUUGUAUCCAAAGCAAUAGUUUAUUCCAUAGUUGUUGGGCAUAGAAGCACUUGGAAAAUAAAUGCUCCCUAUCUUCAUCAUUGCACUUCCACUACAUACAAGCCUUGUUGGAUGAGUCUGCCAGUAGUAAGUAAUCUCUCGUCUAGCCACAAAAUGAAAACAACUUUGGUCUAGCAAUAUUUUGGAACAUCAUACAUUUCCAACUGACUAUUUCAAGAUCUCGCAAAAGUUGGAAAUAAA
Molecule: long non-coding RNA, 722 nt
Filed under: Capsicum annuum
Lineage: Eukaryota; Viridiplantae; Streptophyta; Magnoliopsida; Solanales; Solanaceae
Description: long non-coding RNA (CANN_LNC015776)
Source: RNAcentral